GCAAGUUGGAUGAGCGGGGAUUAAGACUUAAAUGUUCACAAUUUUUCAAUUGUGGCCGUGUGGGCCCCACAAACACAAGGCAAAAAUCAGAUUUUUGCCCAUGCUCAGUUGGGGGAACGUGCAAGACCCCUUGGGCAGAAAAAUAUCCAACUUUGUUGACCAAAAGUUGCAUGCCAACUCAUUUUCCCCAAUGCCACAAAUUGAACAAGAGAGAGAAGCUCUCAUCUUCUCCAACUAGAGAAAGAGAGCCACGGCUAUGGCAGCUCCUCCACCACCAAAAAAAAUCAGUUUUCUUCCUCAAAUCAACUCCUCAUCUAGUGUACAAGAACGUGUAGUAGUUGUUGGAAAGAAACAAGGGGGUGUAGCACCUCAAUAGGGUUGAAGAUUCGGCCAAAGUGAAGAACAAGUUGUAAGGAUAAGUACCAUUGGGCAGCAAGUACAAGUUAUUAUACGACUAAACGCUAAAGGUACAGACGUUCAUUUCGGAGAUCCGCCAGCUUAGGACACUUAUUCAGCUAUUUUGACUGCUCCUUUGUUCCGGAGCCUAGCUUGUGGUAUAACUCCCUUAUGUUGAAUUCAUAUGAGUUUAUUUGGGUACGGCGGGGCCCUGUCCCGCCAUAUGAUACGGUCAUUACUCUUAGAGGUCUGUGGACAUUUGUGUGGGUCUGUUUAUGGUUGUUGACGCGUUUUAUGAUUAUGACAUAUGUUUGGGGCGUACCCAUUCGUAAUGGCAGCCUUGUCGGCUUGCAUAUAUAUGUAUGUUUGGUAUGUUGCAUAUCGUGGCAGCCUUGUCGGCUUGCGUAGAAAAAUAUAUGUUGUUGUUUAAAAAUUGUAACUCCUCAGGAGACAGGUGCCUACG
Molecule: long non-coding RNA, 859 nt
Organism: Lycium barbarum (goji berry)
Lineage: Eukaryota; Viridiplantae; Streptophyta; Magnoliopsida; Solanales; Solanaceae
Exons: 3
Source: RefSeq, a predicted model, not a curated record